UCCGUAGGUGAACCUGCGGAAGGAUCAUUACUAGAAUGAAAAGUGCUUAACUGCAUUUUUUCUUACACAUGUGUUUUUCUUUUUUUGAAAACUUUGCUUUGGUAGGCCUUCUAUAUGGGGCCUGCCAGAGAUUAAACUCAACCAAAUUUUAUUUAAUGUCAACCGAUUAUUUAAUAGUCAAAACUUUCAACAACGGAUCUCUUGGUUCUCGCAUCGAUGAAGAACGCAGCGAAAUGCGAUAAGUAAUAUGAAUUGCAGAUAUUCGUGAAUCAUCGAAUCUUUGAACGCACAUUGCGCCCUUUGGUAUUCCAAAGGGCAUGCCUGUUUGAGCGUCAUUUCUCCCUCAAACCCUCGGGUUUGGUGUUGAGCGAUACGCUGGGUUUGCUUGAAAGAAAGGCGGAGUAUAAACUAAUGGAUAGGUUUUUUCCACUCAUUGGUACAAACUCCAAAACUUCUUCCAAAUUCGACCUCAAAUCAGGUAGGACUACCCGCUGAACUUAAGCAUAUCAAUAAGCGGAGGAAAAGAAACCAACAGGGAUUGCCUUAGUAGCGGCGAGUGAAGCGGCAAAAG
This 571-nucleotide ribosomal RNA is filed under the name Lodderomyces parapsilosis. RNAcentral describes it as "eukaryotic LSU rRNA". The stretch from base 182 to 335 matches the Rfam family "5.8S ribosomal RNA". The record is from RNAcentral. Lineage: Eukaryota; Fungi; Ascomycota; Pichiomycetes; Serinales; Debaryomycetaceae.